UUAACCGGUAGGUGGCAAUGUUGUAGUAAUUUGUACGGGUAGAGUUGUCUGCCCAUUUCACCGCUAGGUGGCAGCUUGAAUCAAAACAACGCACCCAAAAUGAAAGUUUAAAAAGAUGUUCAAUCUGUAAAUAAUUCAAGGAAUUUGCUUGUGGAAUUUAAGCCAGCAAUAUCAGUAUAAUGGAGUUUCACAAGCUAGCGCCUUACAUGGAUCAUCAUUCGACACCAGUACCGGAGGAGAUGUUCAAACUCUGAUGUCCCUGUCCAAAUAUUUAGCAGAAAAUGCGUUGACAGUAUCAACCCGAAAUGCUUACAACAGAGCGAAACUAAUGUACAAAAUUUUUUUAUCAAAGUACUUUACAGGUGCACCAUUGUUUCCAAUGUCAAGUGAACAUAUUGUUUUAUUUAUUUCUUGUUGCUAUCAAAAACAACUGUCUCCACAAACUGUGACAACAUACUUGUCCGCAUUGGCACAUUUUAACAAAAUGGAAGGCUAUCCUGAUCUAAUCCAAGAUUUCAUUGUGAAACGGACACUGCAGGGGUUUCAAAAGCUCAAAGCAAGACCAGACACACGCCUUCCAAUCACACCAGUGAUCUUGCAGAAAAUUGUAAAUGCUCUACCGCAGUGUACCCAAUCCUUUUAUCAAAAAACACUGUUUAAGGCAAUGUUUUUAUUAGCAUUUCAUGCCUUCUGACGAGUGGGAGAGAUUACAUCAAAAACGAAUAAUACGUUGAAUUUAUCAGCAAUUUCAUUUGCUCAUCAACCGAAUGGUGUUCCAGAAAGUAUGUCUUUGACAAUGGUUGAUUAUAAACAUCACAGAGAGAAACCUCCAGUAACAUUUCAUUUACAGGCAAACAAAGAAAAUCCACAAUUGUGUGCAGUUUCAGCUAUGUGGGAAUAUAGAGCAAUAAGAGGAGAUUGUGACGGACCACUUUUCAUGUUUCAGGACAAAUCACCAGUUUCUAGGCAUUAUUUCAAUCAACAAUUAAAAAUAUUACUCAAUUAUUUAGAUUAUGACACAAAACUGUACAAAGGACAUUCGUUUCGAAUAAGUGCAGCUACGUUAGCUAAAUCAAAGGGAAUAUCAGAUGAACAAAUUCAAUUGCUUGGACGAUGGAAGUCAAACGCAUACAGGAAAUAUAUUCGCAUUCCCUUGUUAAAUAUUUAGUUUAUCCAAUGGGUACAAAUUAUUUUAACAAACUGGAGAACAUGGGGACAGGGGCCUCUGUUUUGACAGUAUGAAGGUUGAGCUUUAAACUAUUAUACAUUCUGAUUACUCGUAUUGUUAAUUACAGCAGUUCUUUGGGACAUAUGAAAAUGACUGUUAUAAUUUUUGUUGCAACAAUAUUGUCCUAUAUAUAUGUUUACUAAGAAGCAUGGAGUCAGGGGCUUCUGUUUCUUUAGCAUGCAUUAUUUCGAUGUUCUAUGUAGUUUCUAAACAAAAUUUUGUUUUGCUAUAACAUUAUAUUACUUAUGGUUAUAAAAGAAAAACAUGGGGUCAGGGGCCUCUGUUUUUCAUUUUUGUUAAUAGAACUUCAUUUUGCAGUUCUAAGUAAACGCUUUAACAUGGUUUGUGUUUAAGUAUCUUGCCUCAAGUCUAACAUCACAGAAACAUGGGGUCAGGGGCCUCUGUUUCAACUUAAAAAGGUUAUAAUGAAAUAUUUUUGCACAAUUAUAAGUACUCUGAUUGAUUUCUGGGUGGGGGGUAUUACUUGUUAAGUAAUACUUUGGCAAAAGUUGAUCCCUCACCUUUGAUUUUAAAGGAAAUUUUUUAACUAUGUUCAAGUGGUAAGCAUUGUUUUUUAUAUUAUUUACAUGUUGUAUAUAAUUUGUAUAUAUGUGAUAAAGUUUAUCGUCAUUUUGUUAUUAAAUGACCAAUUUCGAUUCAA
Magallana angulata is the source of this 1889-nucleotide long non-coding RNA. RefSeq lists it as uncharacterized. The transcript is spliced from 2 exons. The record is from RefSeq and is a predicted model, not a curated record. NCBI's taxonomy places the organism in Eukaryota, Metazoa, Mollusca, Bivalvia, Ostreida, Ostreidae.